This is a non-coding RNA of Marasmius tenuissimus, 99 nucleotides long. The record is from the annotation of a GenBank genome assembly. NCBI's taxonomy places the organism in Eukaryota, Fungi, Basidiomycota, Agaricomycetes, Agaricales, Marasmiaceae.
GCAUUAAUGGGGUAGUGGUAACCUGGGUCGUUGCCAUUAACUUAAGGGUUCCGUUCGAUUUGGUUCGACCCGCCGGGGGUUCGAUUCCCUCUUAAUGCA